GAUGAACGCUGGCGGCGUGCCUAAUACAUGCAAGCCGAGCGAACAGAUAAGGAGCUUGCUCCUUUGACGUUAGCGGCGGACGGGUGAGUAACACGUGGGUAACCUACCUAUAAGACUGGGAUAACUUCGGGAAACCGGAGCUAAUACCGGAUAACAUUUGGAACCGCAUGGUUCUAAAGUGAAAGAUGGUUUUGCUAUCACUUAUAGAUGGACCCGCGCCGUAUUAGCUAGUUGGUAAGGUAACGGCUUACCAAGGCGACGAUACGUAGCCGACCUGAGAGGGUGAUCGGCCACACUGGAACUGAGACACGGUCCAGACUCCUACGGGAGGCAGCAGUAGGGAAUCUUCCGCAAUGGGCGAAAGCCUGACGGAGCAACGCCGCGUGAGUGAUGAAGGGUUUCGGCUCGUAAAACUCUGUUAUUAGGGAAGAACAAAUGUGUAAGUAACUGUGCACGUCUUGACGGUACCUAAUCAGAAAGCCACGGCUAACUACGUG
This 497-nucleotide ribosomal RNA is filed under the name uncultured bacterium. Its description in RNAcentral is "partial 16S ribosomal RNA". It matches the Rfam family "Bacterial small subunit ribosomal RNA", at positions 28 to 507 of the family's 1533-position model. The record is from RNAcentral.